GGACUUAGGGCUUUUAACCUAGAGAUAGACUGAGAUUCUAUGUGGGGUUUAUAAUUAAUCAAAGAGCUUAAAAGGUCCUAAUUAAGAUUGAUUAUCACGAAAGUAGGGCUCAGGUUAAUUAAGAUACACUUUGAGUGCCUUAAGAUAAGACUUAAGAUAGUUUAUGAUUAAUUUUCUUCAAAGUAACAAAUUUUCAAUUUAUUGAAUGAAUGAGACUAGAUCUAUAAUAGGUUGAAGUGUGAAUUCCUAAUUUUGAAAUUGCUUUUAUUAAUUGAUUAACUUAGUUAAAUUGUUUUUCUUUCUUCUAUUCCAUUAGUUUAGAAUAAUUUAGUUUUAGAUU
This 340-nucleotide unclassified non-coding RNA is filed under the name Hevea brasiliensis (rubber tree). The record is from RNAcentral. Lineage: Eukaryota; Viridiplantae; Streptophyta; Magnoliopsida; Malpighiales; Euphorbiaceae.